GUCGACGCAAUCUUUGACUAAUGAGUGCUUGCACUCAGCAGUUAAAGUGCGAGUGGCGAACGGGUGAGUAACACGUGGGCAAUCUGCCCAACAGUGGGGGAUAACACUUGGAAACAGGUGCUAAUACCGCAUCAACCGGCUGACCGCAUGGUCGGCCGGGCAAAGACGGCGUCAGCUGUCGCUUUUGGAUGAGCCCGCGGCGUAUUAACUAGUUGGUAAGGUAACGGCUUACCAAGGUGAUGAUACGUAGCCGAACUGAGAGGUUGAUCGGCCACAUUGGGACUGAGACACGGCCCAAACUCCUACGGGAGGCAGCAGUAGGAAAUCUUCCACAAUGGACGCAAGUCUGAUGGAGCAACGCCGCGUGUAUGAAGAAGGUCUUCGGAUCGUAAAAUACUGUUGUCAGAGAAGAACACGUGAUAGAGUAACUGCUAUGGCGCUGACGGUAUCUGACCAGCAAGUCACGGCUAACUACGUGCCAGCAGCCGCGGUAAUACGUAGGUGGCAAGCGUUGUCCGGAUUUAUUGGGCGUAAAGGGAACGCAGGCGGUCUUUUAAGUCUGAUGUGAAAGCCUUCGGCUUAACCGGAGAAGUGCAUUGGAAACUGGAAGACUUGAGUGCAGAAGAGGAGAGUGGAACUCCAUGUGUAGCGGUGAAAUGCGUAGAUAUAUGGAAGAACACCAGUGGCGAAAGCGGCUCUCUGGUCUGUGACUGACGCUGAGGUUCGAAAGCGUGGGGAGCGAACAGGAUUAGAUACCCUGGUAGUCCACGCUGUAAACGAUGAAUGCUAGGUGUUGGAGGGUUUCCGCCCUUCGGUGCCGCAGCUAACGCACUAAGCAUUCCGCCUGGGGAGUACGAUC
This 859-nucleotide ribosomal RNA is filed under the name uncultured bacterium. Its description in RNAcentral is "bacterial SSU rRNA". It matches the Rfam family "Bacterial small subunit ribosomal RNA", at positions 61 to 887 of the family's 1533-position model. The record is from RNAcentral.